RNAcentral lists this long non-coding RNA (1463 nucleotides) under Sus scrofa (pig). RNAcentral's name for it is "lncRNA (ENSSSCG00070019391.1)". The record is from RNAcentral. Lineage: Eukaryota; Metazoa; Chordata; Mammalia; Artiodactyla; Suidae.
UCUGUGUCUCAAUGUUUCUUGGUCUGCCAAGUUGGGGUUAGGCAACUUCACUUCUUAAAUUUCAUUCAGAGUUUUAAUGCAUAGGCGUGAUCCACGCACACGUAUAAAGAAACACAAAUACACCCAUGUAAAUAACCACACACAAACAUAUGCCCAGGUGCACGUGUAAACACACCUGCACAUGCAUCUUUAUGCAUACAAAAACGUGUCCUCUGUCAUCACCAUCCACUGCUAUUGACUGUGUUUAUAUCACCUUCUAGCAUCAUUUUUAGCAGGACUCAGCCUAGGAGUAAGACAAGCUGAUGGGGCCCUGCCAGAGUGCCCAGUAGGUACCCAGAUGUAGGAGUGAGGAUGGUGAGCAUCAGAGGGAACCUGGGGGAGAGGAGUUCAGCAUGCCUGGGGAUGCACAGGCCCUUCCCAUCCUCCCUCAGUAAAAUUGUCACAUUUACUCUCAGAAGGGGGCAGUCAAAACAUCUAGAAGUCCUGGGUCCUGGCUCCAGCUCUUCCACGGCCUGACUCUGUGACGUUGCACAAAUCACUUUUCUUCCUGGAGCCUUAGUUUCUGACUCUCUAAAAUGAGACGACAGAGACUUCCAGUUCUAGCCAAGAUGGAGUAAACUCACUGUGUCCUAUCUCCCCUCCUGAUUGUAACUAAAGUGUGUAAGCUGAAUGCAAAGUGCAACUACCUGAAAUCUCCAAAAACCUUUAAACCUUUGCAGGUUGACUGAGGAAGGAAGUGGGAAUUUGAGGAGUGAGCAGUAUGGCAGUGAGAUGUUUUUUCCACCUUUAUCUCCCAGGAUUGGCCAGGCAGAGAAGAGCACAUCAGCAGUCUCCUGCCCCCAGGAGUGAGCAUGAAGCUGGAUCCAACACCCCAUCCAUCCUGAGGUCUAGAGGCAUUAAUGGAAGCACGAGCAUGUUCUGGAUGGUUUUGGAGAGAAGAGCAACCUUCCCUACACAUGAUUGCUUAGAUGAGCCUCCAAACGCUGGCAUGUUCUGAAGAAGGAAGCGGAGAGGCGCGGGCGUUGCAGAGGGAGCCUUGAGCUGAGCUGGGCUGGGAGUCAUUAAAGGAGGCGGCUGUCCCCGGGGCCCCAGACGGCGUCUCAUCAAGAUGCCCUGGAACUCGCCCAGCUUUGCUUCAGAUGUUCCAAGCUCAUUUUGGUAUGUGCAUUUACAUCUUCUCUGCCUUCCUCGGGGGGAACGUUCUUUAAAGGAAGGGGAUGGUGAAUUAGAAGUUUCAGAGCUCAGCUUGCUAACACACCUCUAGAGGAAAUCAUGGGGCAGAAUGACAGGAUCCUUCCCUGGGGUUCAAGUGCAAGAGAACAACUUCCUGUCCUCCCCACUCUCCACCCCCAACACCUGGGCGGCAUACACAUGCACAUGGUGGAUGUAAGGCAAAUUGCCGAAGCAUGCCAGACCUGUUUGCUUAUCUGUCAAAGGGGAAGAGUGAUGUCCACCUGCCAGCC